This 492-nucleotide ribosomal RNA is filed under the name Biomphalaria straminea. RNAcentral describes it as "partial 16S ribosomal RNA". The record is from RNAcentral. Lineage: Eukaryota; Metazoa; Mollusca; Gastropoda; Planorbidae.
AAGGAAAUCUACAUGUAUUCUGCGCAGUGAUUUUUUUUUAAUGGCCGCAGUACCUUGACUGUGCUAAGGUAGCAUAAUCAAUUGGCUUCUAAUUAAAGUCUGGAAUGAAAGGAAAUAUGAAGUAAUUCUAUCUUAAAGGAUUUUUUUUGAAUUUAUUUAAAUGAUGAAAAUAUCAUUUUAUAGAAAAAAGACGAGAAGACCCUUAUAGUUUUGAUAUUUAUAUAUUUUUGUUGGGGCGACAGGUAAACAUAUGACUUUACGAAUUAUCAUUGAUCGAUUUUUUAUAAGAAUAAUAAAACUACCUUAGGGAUAACAGCAUUAUAUUUUUUUUUAUGAUUGUGACCUCAAUGUUGGACUAGGAACUUUAUGGCUAGCCUUCAAAAAAGAUUUGUUCUGUUCGAACAAUUUUAUCCUACGUGAUCUGAGCCACACCGGUAAUAAGUGGGUUUGUUCAACCCUUAAUAUCCUACGUGAUCUGAUUUUCAGACCGGA